Molecule: ribosomal RNA, 693 nt
Filed under: uncultured bacterium
Lineage: Bacteria
Description: bacterial SSU rRNA
Rfam family: Bacterial small subunit ribosomal RNA
Source: RNAcentral
AGAGUUUGAUCCUGGCUCAGGAUGAACGCUGGCGGCGUGCCUAACACAUGCAAGUCGAACGGGAAGUAGCCUUCGGGCUGUGGAGAGUGGCGAACGGGUGAGUAACGCAUAGCUAACCUGCCCUCAAGAGGAGGACAACAUCUGGAAACAGGUGCUAAUACUCCAUAAGCUCACAUCGAAUAGAGAGACGUGAGAAAAGCGAAUGCGCUUGAGGAUGGGGCUGUGUAUCAUCAGCUAGAUGGUGAGGUAAAGGCUCACCAUGGCAACGACGAUUAGGGGACCUGAGAGGGUGACCCCCCACACUGGAACUGAGACACGGUCCAGACUCCUACGGGAGGCAGCAGUGAGGAAUAUUGCACAAUGGGCGCAAGCCUGAUGCAGCGACGCCGCGUGGGUGAAGAAGGAUUUCGGUCUGUAAAGCCCUUUUCUAUGUGACGAGAGUGGACGGUAGCAUAGGAAUAAGUCUCGGCUAACUACGUGCCAGCAGCCGCGGUAAAACGUAGGAGGCAAGCGUUAUCCGGAGUUACUGGGCGUAAAGCGCGUGCAGGUGGGUGAUUAAGUCACUUAUGAAAGCUCCUGGCUAAACUGGGAGAGGUUGAGUGAAACUGGUCAUCUUGAGUGGAUGAGAGGAAAGUAGAAUUCCGCGUGUAGUGGUGAAAUGCGUAGAUAUGCGGAGGAAUACCAGUGGCGAAA